RNAcentral lists this ribosomal RNA (449 nucleotides) under uncultured bacterium. Its description in RNAcentral is "partial 16S ribosomal RNA". It matches the Rfam family "Bacterial small subunit ribosomal RNA", at positions 338 to 795 of the family's 1533-position model. The record is from RNAcentral.
CCUACGGGUGGCUGCAGUAAGGAAUAUUGGUCAAUGGACGAAAGUCUGAACCAGCCAUGCCGCGUGGAGGAUGAAGGUCCUCUGGAUUGUAAACUUCUUUUAUAUGGGACGAAAAAAGGCUUUUCUAGGUCGUCUGACGGUACCAUAUGAAUAAGCACCGGCUAACUCCGUGCCAGCAGCCGCGGUAAUACGGAGGGUGCAAGCGUUAUCCGGAUACAGUGGGUUUAAGGGGGGCGGUGGUGGGGUGGUAAAAGCCCCGAGCUUAACUUGGGAACUGCCAUUGAUACUAUCAGUCUUGAAUACCGUGGAGGUCAGCGGAAUAUGUCAUGUAGCGGUGAAAUGCUUAGAUAUGACAUAGAACACCAAUUGCGAAGGCAGCUGGCUACCCAAAUAUUGACACUGAGGCACGAAAGCGUGGGGAUCAAACAGGAUUAGAUACCCGUGUAGUC